GGCGAACGCUGGCGGCGUGCUUAACACAUGCAAGUCGAACGGAAAGGCCCUGCUUGCAGGGUACUCGAGUGGCGAACGGGUGAGUAACACGUGGGUGAUCUGCCCUGCACUUCGGGAUAAGCUUGGGAAACUGGGUCUAAUACCGGAUAGGAGCCAUCUUUAGUGUGGUGGUUGGAAAGUUUUUUCGGUGUAGGAUGAGCUCGCGGCCUAUCAGCUUGUUGGUGGGGUAAUGGCCUACCAAGGCGGCGACGGGUAGCCGGCCUGAGAGGGUGUACGGCCACAUUGGGACUGAGAUACGGCCCAGACUCCUACGGGAGGCAGCAGUGGGGAAUAUUGCACAAUGGGCGCAAGCCUGAUGCAGCGACGCCGCGUGGGGGAUGAAGGCCUUCGGGUUGUAAACUCCUUUCGCUAGGGACGAAGCUUUGUUGUGACGGUACCUAGAUAAGAAGCACCGGCUAACUACGUG
Molecule: ribosomal RNA, 466 nt
Filed under: uncultured bacterium
Lineage: Bacteria
Description: partial 16S ribosomal RNA
Rfam family: Bacterial small subunit ribosomal RNA
Source: RNAcentral